RNAcentral lists this long non-coding RNA (202 nucleotides) under Capsicum annuum. Its description in RNAcentral is "long non-coding RNA (CANN_LNC020333)". Lineage: Eukaryota; Viridiplantae; Streptophyta; Magnoliopsida; Solanales; Solanaceae. The record is from RNAcentral.
ACCAUUUUUCCUCUCCCUAUCUUCGAUCGUACUCCUCACGUGAUUAGCAUGCGGUUUUCGUACCAUGGGAAGUCCAAGAAUCCUCUAGAAAAUGUGUAGAUGUCCGCUCCAAUAGAUAGAUGCUGAGAAUUUCAGGUUGAAUGGUACAAAAUCGUACAUACUUGCCCGCUUCUCAUUGGUUGGUGAGAAAAAUUUCAUCCCU